CUACGUGCCAGCAGCCGCGGUAAUACGUAGGGGGCAAGCGUUAUCCGGAUUUACUGGGUGUAAAGGGAGCGCAGACGGUUGCGCAAGUCUGAAGUGAAAUCCCGAGGCUUAACCACGGGACUGCUUUGGAAACUGUGCGACUUGAGUAUCGGAGGGGCAGGCGGAAUUCCUAGUGUAGCGGUGAAAUGCGUAGAUAUUAGGAAGAACACCGGUGGCGAAGGCGGCCUGCUGGACGAAAACUGACGUUGAGGCUCGAAGGCGUGGGGAGCAAACAGGAUUAGAUACCCUGGUAGUCCACGCGGUAAACGAUGAAUACUAGGUGUUGGUGCCCCAAGGGCAUCGGUGCCGUCGCAAACGCAAUAAGUACCCCGCCUGGGGAGUACGACCGCAAGGUUGAAACUCAAAGGAAUUGACGGGGGCCCGCACAAGCGGUGGAGUAUGUGGUUUAAUUCGACGCAACGCGAAGAACCUUACCAGGUCUUGACAU
This 487-nucleotide ribosomal RNA is filed under the name uncultured bacterium. RNAcentral's name for it is "bacterial SSU rRNA". It matches the Rfam family "Bacterial small subunit ribosomal RNA", at positions 501 to 987 of the family's 1533-position model. The record is from RNAcentral.